CCUACGGGUGGCAGCAGUGAGGAAUAUUGGUCAAUGGGCGCGAGCCUGAACCAGCCACGCAGCGUGAAGGAUGACUGCUCUACGGGUUGUAAACUUCUUUUAUAAAGGAAUAAAGUGAGGCACGUGUGCCUUUUUGUCUGUACUUUAUGAUUAAGGAUCGGCUAACUCCGUGCCAGCAGCAGCGGUAAUACGGAGGAUCCGAGCGUUAUCCGGAUUUAUUGGGUUUAAAGGGAGCGUAGAUGGGUUGUUAAGUCAGUUGUGAAAGCUUGCGGCUCAACCGUGAAAUUGCAAUUGAUACUGGCAGUCUUGAGUACAGUAGAGGUAGGCGGAAUUCGUGGUGUAGCGGUGAAAUGCUUAGAUAUCACGAAGAACACCGAUUGCGAAGGCAGCUUACUAAACUGCCACUGACAUUGAUGCUCGAAAGUGUGGGUAUCAAACAGGAUUAGAUACCCCAGUAGUC
Molecule: ribosomal RNA, 460 nt
Filed under: uncultured bacterium
Lineage: Bacteria
Description: partial 16S ribosomal RNA
Rfam family: Bacterial small subunit ribosomal RNA
Source: RNAcentral